Vicia faba (fava bean) is the source of this 351-nucleotide non-coding RNA. Lineage: Eukaryota; Viridiplantae; Streptophyta; Magnoliopsida; Fabales; Fabaceae. The record is from the annotation of a GenBank genome assembly.
AUGUGUGGCUUGGAAGAAGAAAGUGCUUACCAUAUCUUCUUCGCCUGUGGUAAAACAAUUGAUACAUGGCAGGCCAUCUUAAAAUGGAUGAGAAUCAUCCAUAAUCUGGGGCCUUGGAAUGCUGAGAUGAAUUGGAUAUUAGUGAAUACAAAAGGAAAGGGUUGGAGGGCAUUUUUACUUAAGAUUGCUAUUACUGAAGCCAUUCAUGAGACUUGGUUACUCAGGAACUCUGUUAUUUUUGAAAGUAAUACAAAUAGGAAAAAUAUAGUGGAGAAAAUUAUUGACUGUAUAGUGUAUAGAGGAUGGAGAAAUAGGAAGUUUAGGCAACACAUUGCUAGCCUUCUGAUAUAG